UAGCGAGCGUUGACAAGUUUGACAAUAUAUGUAUGUACUCGGCAAAAUGUUCAACCUCGAACGGCCGAUAUUUACGCACGCCUGUGGCGCGCGGUGAAUGGGACGAAAUUGUGUAAAAAUCGAAGAACUUCCGCUCGAAUGACCGAAUUCACUUCAUGGGACUAGACAAUCGUGCAUAAGAGACACGUAUAAAUAUAAAUUGUUAUCUUAAUUUGUUAAUGCAUCUGAAUUAAUUUGUAAAAUGAGAA
Non-coding RNA from Megalopta genalis, 248 nucleotides. NCBI's taxonomy places the organism in Eukaryota, Metazoa, Arthropoda, Insecta, Hymenoptera, Halictidae. The record is from RefSeq and is a predicted model, not a curated record.